UUUAAAGAGAGAGCAAAGGAUUGGAAAAUAAUAUGCAACAAAUCUUCCAAAUUCAGUACAUUUGCAUGUCAACAAUGAGUACUAUCUGAUUAUAGUGUGAUGUGAAUUCCAAAGUCCAUUGUUGUUUGAGUUUAUUAUUUUGGUUAGAAAGGCAGUUUUUCAGUCUCAACUCAAUGUGUGAACAGAAUGAAUACUUUCAAAGGUUUGAGAGUCCCAUAUAAAUCUAUUGCUGCUAGUGCAGAAAGCAGGUUCAUAAUCACACAUUAGUAAAGCAGAAGUUGGUAAUAGGAAAUAAUGUGCUUUGUAUUAUCAGAUGGAAACAGACGCUGCAUUGUUUAAAAAAGUGUGUUCCUCUUUUAGAAACAUUUAUAAUGCCUAGAAGGGGAAAAAAACCCCCAUCAAAUUCUAAUUCUAUAAUUUCUCUGCUAUAAUUUCCAGUCAGUGUGUGCAUGACUGGGUGAAGAAGAGGUGAAGAAGGCAGAGUUUUAGCUCACAUUCAGGAUGUGACACAGUUCAUGACUGUGUCACAUCUCGGUUCAUGCGCUAUCUUCAAGUUCAUUUUAUAAAUAACGUGUUAAAUGAGAUUAAAACUGUUCGAAAAGUAAAGCUAUCAUUAGCUGUAAAAGUAUAACCGUUAUUCUUUGCUUUCAGAUAUGAAUAUGAUUGUUGGUCCUGUUUCCUUAAAUUGUUAGUCACACCUGGUUUGAAAUUAAAGAAAAAAUACUUUGCUUCUAAUGAAUUGGC
Long non-coding RNA from Xiphophorus couchianus (Monterrey platyfish), 744 nucleotides. RefSeq lists it as uncharacterized. The record is from RefSeq and is a predicted model, not a curated record. The transcript is spliced from 2 exons. Lineage: Eukaryota; Metazoa; Chordata; Actinopteri; Cyprinodontiformes; Poeciliidae.